GAGUUUGAUCGUGGCUCAGGACGAACGCUGGCGGCGUGCUUAACACAUGCAAGUCGAACGGAAAGGCCCUUCGGGGUACUCGAGUGGCGAACGGGUGAGUAACACGUGGGUGAUCUGCCCUGCACUUUGGGAUAAGCCUGGGAAACUGGGUCUAAUACCGAAUAUGAUCACGCUUCUCAUGGGGUGUGGUGGAAAGCUUUUGCGGUGUGGGAUGGGCCCGCGGCCUAUCAGCUUGUUGGUGGGGUAAUGGCCUACCAAGGCGACGACGGGUAGCCGGCCUGAGAGGGUGUCCGGCCACACUGGGACUGAGAUACGGCCCAGACUCCUACGGGAGGCAGCAGUGGGGAAUAUUGCACAAUGGGCGCAAGCCUGAUGCAGCGACGCCGCGUGAGGGACGACGGCCUUCGGUUGU
This 412-nucleotide ribosomal RNA is filed under the name uncultured Actinomycetes bacterium. RNAcentral's name for it is "bacterial SSU rRNA". It matches the Rfam family "Bacterial small subunit ribosomal RNA", at positions 9 to 426 of the family's 1533-position model. Lineage: Bacteria; Bacillati; Actinomycetota; Actinomycetes. The record is from RNAcentral.